RNAcentral lists this ribosomal RNA (301 nucleotides) under uncultured bacterium. Its description in RNAcentral is "partial 16S ribosomal RNA". It matches the Rfam family "Bacterial small subunit ribosomal RNA", at positions 509 to 807 of the family's 1533-position model. The record is from RNAcentral.
CAGCCGCCGCGGGAAUACAGAGGGUGCAAGCGUUAAUCGGAAUUACUGGGCGUAAAGCGCGCGUAGGUGGUUUGUUAAGUUGGAUGUGAAAGCCCCGGGCUCAACCUGGGAACUGCAUCCAAAACUGGCAAGCUAGAGUACGGUAGAGGGUGGUGGAAUUUCCUGUGUAGCGGUGAAAUGCGUAGAUAUAGGAAGGAACACCAGUGGCGAAGGCGACCACCUGGACUGAUACUGACACUGAGGUGCGAAAGCGUGGGGAGCAAACAGGAUUAGAGACCCCCGUAGUCCCUGUCUCUUAUAC